UCCCCGUUACCGGGGCAGUCUGAUUAGAAAAAUACAACUAAUCAUAGGGGUUGCGCUCGUUGAUGGACUUAACCAAACGUCUCACGACACGAGCUGACGACGGCCAUGCAACACCUGUCUUUGGGUUCCCGAAGGCACUCUCGUCUUUCGACAAAAUUCCCAAGAUGUCAAGCCUUGGUAAGGUUCUUCGCUUACCAUCGAAUUAAACAACACGCUCCACCGCUUGUGCGGGUCCCCGCCAAUUCCUUUGAGUUUUAGUCUUGCGACCGUACUCCCCAGGCGGACAACUUCACGCGUUAGCUGCGGUACUGAGAAAUCGCUUCCCCAACACCUAGUUGUCAUCGUUUAGGGCGUGGACUAC
RNAcentral lists this unclassified non-coding RNA (361 nucleotides) under uncultured bacterium. RNAcentral describes it as "contains 16S-23S intergenic spacer region". The record is from RNAcentral.